RNAcentral lists this long non-coding RNA (762 nucleotides) under Triticum aestivum (bread wheat). RNAcentral describes it as "long non-coding RNA (TAES_LNC026501)". The record is from RNAcentral. Lineage: Eukaryota; Viridiplantae; Streptophyta; Magnoliopsida; Poales; Poaceae.
GACCGAGUCAGGAGUAAGAUGUUUGUGUCUUCUCUUAUGGAAGGGAAAGCUAUUCUUCUUUGCCUUAUGGUGCUUGUGCACGUAGGAAAUUCCAUUCAUAUUGGUAAGAAAUCGAUCUCCCCAUCCCUAUAUAUGGUUCCGUUCUCCUAUCAACCGAAGUAGGAUAAUAUUGUCACUUAAACAUCAUGAAUAUUUUCAUAUUUUUUUCCAAUUUGGACUUUUUUUAUGGUGUGUGUUUUUCUUUACAGAUAAAUGCAAGUAUAGAGUUCACCCGCAAAGAACAACAUGCAAGGAUGUAACUGCUUCUAUCGGCCGUGAGUGCAAUCUGUCAAAAUGCCAGGGGACCUGCAAAGAUUUGUUUGGAGCGGAACUCACAGCCUCAUGGUGUAUCAACCCCGUCCCAUACUAUUGGCAUUGUAGGUGUCGUAUCUGUCAUGUCGGUGAGUAUUGAUCUGGACAAAUGAUGUGAUCCAAUAAUAAAAUCUUCCAGUGACAUGCAUCUAAGAAUACAUAACGAUUGCCAAAUUUAGGUGUUCUAUUCGAUUUUGUCAUGUGCAAUAUUGAUCUGGUAAUUUUAGGUUUGCAUGGCCUCGUGAUUUAUAAGUUAAAAAAAACCAACCUUAUACGACAUGAAUGAAUCGACCUAACUAUACCGGCAGUCCCGUUUCUGAUGGGCCCAGAACACAAGGAAGUAGUAUAUAUUUCUCUAGUCGGUGAGUAUGUUUAGUGGUAGAAACUUGUAGGAUCAGAUAUCGACCAGAG